RNAcentral lists this long non-coding RNA (1564 nucleotides) under Heterocephalus glaber (naked mole-rat). RNAcentral describes it as "lncRNA (ENSHGLG00000045047.1)". Lineage: Eukaryota; Metazoa; Chordata; Mammalia; Rodentia; Bathyergidae. The record is from RNAcentral.
AAGAGAGAAGAGGCCUUGUGGAGGCAGGUCUUCCUCAGACCCCCAAAUUUCCAGACCCAGAAAAGCACCAGAAGCACCCCCCGCCCCGUGGAAAUGAGAAGAAACGUAAACAAGCCUCAAAAACAGACUUCUGGAUCACCUACAGCAACCCCAAAGGGAAAUGAGAUGGAACAAUCUGAUACUCAACCACCUGGACUCUCUGAACUGGCAACAAAAGAGGAUCUGGGAAAAAUGAAAUCAGUGCAAAUGAAUCAAAGUGAAGGUACUUGCUGAAUUCUGUUCUACAAGUGGACAUUCAUCUCUUUGAGAAUUUUUUUUUUUUUUUGGUACCGGGGAUCGAACUCAGGACCUUGCACUUAUGAGGCAGGUGCAGUGCCACUGAGCUAAAUCCCCAGCCCUCUUUGAGAAUUUUUAAAAUUAAUUUUUCACAUGCUCCUGAGGAAUUUUUACCGUACUCAGUGAAUUUAAUUUUUUAGUCUUAGCAGUUAAAUCAUCAUGGUCCACUCAUGAAAUAGACAUUUGAAAUUAACAUUGCAAAAGAAUCAUUUUCAGGGCCAGGGAUUUAGCUCAGUGGUUCCACCACCUGCCUCGCAAGCAGAAGAUUCUGAGUUCGAUCCCCAUUACCAAAAUAACAUAAUAAUUUUCAGACUAGAGACUACAUAGUGAGAAGUUUAAGAUUAAAGUGCCUUUUAAAAGGAAACUACAUCCUGUCUUUGCAAAGGAACAACUAUGAUGAUAUACAGCAGUGAUUGCAAACCUGUGGCACGUAUGCAGAGCUCUCUCUUUCAGUUUACAAGCCAGGUAACCCUAGCAUCAACCCAGAAGUUGAACAUUCAGGUUUAAUUGUAUUGGUGGCACUUUGUGAUAAAUAAGUGGGUUUGGGUUGCAGUUGGGGCACUCAGUCUCUAAAAGAUUCACCAUAUCUGAUCUACAGUAAUGGGUCUGAUUAUUAUAAUUAUUGAACUAAAGCUACAAGGAGCUACUAGCAAUAGGUCAUAGAAAUUCUAUUGUCACAGAUUAAAGACCUAUAUUUUGGGAAGGUCUUGGGUGGGACUUUCUGGUUUAGUUUCUUUGGGAAUGAGGUAGAGAUUGUCCAGUUUGAAGUAAAUGUAACCAUUUGAAAUGCUGUCAUGAUUCUUACCCUACAGAUUUAUUAGUGGGUUCUAAUCUACUAUCCAUUGCAGGAAACUCCGAUUAAUUUCACAAAGUAUUUGCCAACCAACUUUGACAACUAUUCUCAUAGCUUUCUCAUGGAAUUAAAAUUGCUCUUCAGGAGCACAGGAUUUGGGGGGCUAUGAAACCAUUCUGUAUGCUACUAUAAUAGUUUAUAUAUGUCAUUAGACAUUUGUCAAAAUCACAGAAUAGGUAACAUCAAGUGAUUAGUGUAAGUUUAUCAAUCAUGACAAAUACAUGAUGGCUAGGUACAUUGACAGUGGGGGAAGCUGUGCCCGUGUGAGGACAGGAGUCUGUGGGAUCUCUAUACUCUCCCCUCAAUUUUACAAUGAACCUAAAACUGCUCUAUAAAAUAAAUUUUGUUCAUUUUUAAAAAAAUUGCUCAGUGGGC